Oryza glaberrima (African rice) is the source of this 90-nucleotide non-coding RNA. The record is from Rfam. Lineage: Eukaryota; Viridiplantae; Streptophyta; Magnoliopsida; Poales; Poaceae.
UACUCCCUCCGUCCCAAAAUAAGCCAACCUCGUACUAGUACGUGACACAUCCUAGUACGAGGUUGGCUUAUUUUGGGACGGAGGGAGUAU